Molecule: ribosomal RNA, 548 nt
Filed under: uncultured organism
Description: eukaryotic LSU rRNA
Rfam family: 5.8S ribosomal RNA (bases 129-282)
Source: RNAcentral
GGGGCGGAUGCGAGGGUUGCCCGUAACACGGCUCUCCUCGAAUUUCCAGGCUCUACGUCUUUUUACACACCCCAAUAGUAUGAUGCAGAAUGUAGUCAAUGGGCUUCUCAGCCUAUAAAACACUAUACAACUUUCAGCAACGGAUCUCUUGGCUCUCGCAUCGAUGAAGAACGCAGCGAAAUGCGAUAAGUAAUGUGAAUUGCAGAAUUCAGUGAAUCAUCGAAUCUUUGAACGCACCUUGCGCUCCUUGGUAUUCCGAGGAGCAUGCCUGUUUGAGUGUCAUUAAAUUCUCAACCUCACCAGUUUUCUGAACUGUUCUUCGAGGCUUGGAUGUGGGGGUUUGUGCAGGCUGCCUCACGGCGGUCUGCUCCCCUGAAAUGCAUUAGCGAGUUCAUACUGAACUUCCGUCUAUUGGUGUGAUAAUUAUCUACGCCGUGGACGAGGAUCAGACUCGCUUCUAACCGUCCGCGAGGACAAUACCUUGACAAUUUGACCUCAAAUCAGGUAGGACUACCCGCUGAACUUAAGCAUAUCAAUAAGCGGAGGAA